Molecule: ribosomal RNA, 450 nt
Filed under: uncultured bacterium
Lineage: Bacteria
Description: partial 16S ribosomal RNA
Rfam family: Bacterial small subunit ribosomal RNA
Source: RNAcentral
GUGGGGAAUCUUCCGCAAUGGGCGAAAGCCUGACGGAGCAACGCCGCGUGAGUGAAGACGGCCUUCGGGUUGUAAAGCUCUGUUAUAUGGGACGAACGUAUCUAUGGCCAAUACCCAUAGAUAGUGACGGUACCGUAAGAGAAAGCCACGGCUAACUACGUGCCAGCAGCCGCGGUAAUACGUAGGUGGCAAGCGUUGUCCGGAAUUAUUGGGCGUAAAGGGCGCGCAGGCGGCCUGUCAAGUCUGUCUUAAAAGUGCGGGGCUCAACCCCGUGAUGGGACGGAAACUGGCAGGCUGGAGUGUCGGAGAGGAAAGCAGAAUUCCUAGUGUAGCGGUGAAAUGCGUAGAUAUUAGGAGGAAUACCAGUGGCGAAAGCGGCUUUCUGGACGACAACUGACGCUGAGGCGCGAAAGCCAGGGGAGCAAACGGGAUUAGAAACCCGAGUAGUCC